RNAcentral lists this ribosomal RNA (373 nucleotides) under uncultured organism. RNAcentral's name for it is "partial 16S ribosomal RNA". It matches the Rfam family "Bacterial small subunit ribosomal RNA", at positions 527 to 896 of the family's 1533-position model. The record is from RNAcentral.
GGGGGGAGCAAGCGUUGUUCGGAAUUACUGGGCGUAAAGGGCGCGUAGGCGGCCUAGUAAGUCGAGUGUGAAAUGCCGGGGCUCAACUCCGUGCACUGCGUUCGAUACUGCUUGGCUGGAGAAAGGUAGAGGCGAGCGGAAUUCCCGGUGUAGCGGUGGAAUGCGUAGAUAUCGGGAAGAACACCUGUGGCGAAGGCGGCUCGCUGGGCCUUAUCUGACGCUGAAGCGCGAAAGCGUGGGGAGCAAACAGGGAUUAGAUACCCUGGUAGUCCACGCCGUAAACGCUGGGUACUAGGUGUCGGGAGGCUUGGCCCUCUCGGUGUCGACCCUAACGGAUUAAGUACCCCGCCUGGGGAGUACGGUCGCAAGGCUG